CUACGGGGGGCUGCAGUGGGGAAUCUUGGACAAUGGGCGCAAGCCUGAUCCAGCCAUGCCGCGUGAGUGAAGAAGGUCUUCGGAUUGUAAAGCUCUUUUGCCAGGGACGAUAAUGACGGUACCUGGAGAAUAAGCCCCGGCAAACUUCGUGCCAGCAGCCGCGGUAAUACGAAGGGGGCUAGCGUUGUUCGGAAUUACUGGGCGUAAAGCGCACGUAGGCGGGUCGUUAAGUCAGGGGUGAAAUCCCGGAGCUCAACUCCGGAACUGCCUUUGAUACUGGCGAUCUAGAGAUCGGAAGAGGUGAGUGGAAUUCCCAGUGUAGAGGUGAAAUUCGUAGAUAUUGGGAAGAACACCAGUGGCGAAGGCGGCUCACUGGUCCGAUACUGACGCUGAGGUGCGAAAGCGUGGGGAGCAAGCAGGAUUAGAUACCCGCGUAGUC
Molecule: ribosomal RNA, 439 nt
Filed under: uncultured bacterium
Lineage: Bacteria
Description: partial 16S ribosomal RNA
Rfam family: Bacterial small subunit ribosomal RNA
Source: RNAcentral